GAAACGACUGCUAAUACCGCAUGACGCAUUUUGAUCGCAUGGUCGAAAUGCCAAAGAUUUAUCGCUGAAAGAUGGCCUCGCGUCUGAUUAGAUAGUUGGCGGGGUAACGGCCCACCAAGUCGACGAUCAGUAGCCGGACUGAGAGGUUGACCGGCCACAUUGGGACUGAGAUACGGCCCAGACUCCUACGGGAGGCAGCAGUGGGGAAUAUUGGGCAAUGGGCGCAAGCCUGACCCAGCAACGCCGCGUGAAGGAAGAAGGCUUUCGGGUUGUAAACUUCUUUUAAGUGGGAAGAGCAGAAGACGGUACCACUUGAAUAAGCCACGGCUAACUACGUGCCAGCAGCCGCGGUAAUACGUAGGUGGCAAGCGUUGUCCGGAUUUACUGGGUGUAAAGGGCGUGCAGCCGGGCAUGCAAGUCAGAUGUGAAAUCUCAGGGCUUAACCCUGAAACUGCAUUUGAAACUGUAUGUCUUGAGUGCCGGAGAGGUAAUCGGAAUUCCUUGUGUAGCGGUGAAAUGCGUAGAUAUAAGGAAGAACACCAGUGGCGAAGGCGGAUUACUGGACGGUAACUGACGGUGAGGCGCGAAAGCGUGGGGAGCGAACAGGAUUAGAUACCCUGGUAGUCCACGCUGUAAACGAUGGAUGUUAGGUGUGCGGGGACUGACCCCCUGCGUGCC
Molecule: ribosomal RNA, 678 nt
Filed under: uncultured bacterium
Lineage: Bacteria
Description: bacterial SSU rRNA
Rfam family: Bacterial small subunit ribosomal RNA
Source: RNAcentral